UGCCUAAUACAUGCAAGUCGAGCGAACAGACGAGGAGCUUGCUCCUCUGACGUUAGCGGCGGACGGGUGAGUAACACGUGGGUAACCUACCUAUAAGACUGGGAUAACUCCGGGAAACCGGGGCUAAUACCGGAUAAUACAUGAAACCGCAUGGUUUCAUGAUGAAAGACGGUUUUGCUGUCACUUAUAGAUGGACCCGCGGCGUAUUAGCUAGUUGGUAAGGUAACGGCUUACCAAGGCAACGAUACGUAGCCGACCUGAGAGGGUGAUCGGCCACACUGGAACUGAGACACGGUCCAGACUCCUACGGGAGGCAGCAGUAGGGAAACUUCCGCAAUGGGCGAAAGCCUGACGGAGCAACGCCGCGUGAGUGAUGAAGGUCUUCGGAUCGUAAAACUCUGUUAUUAGGGAAGAACAAGGAUGUAAGUAACUAUGCAUCCCUUGACGGUACCUAAUCAGAAAGCCACGGCUAACUACGUGCCAGCAGCCGCGGUAAUACGUAGGUGGCAAGCGUUAUCCGGAAUUAUUGGGCGUAAAGCGCGCGUAGGCGGUUUUUUAAGUCUGAUGUGAAAGCCCACGGCUCAACCGUGGAGGGUCAUUGGAAACUGGAAAACUUGAGUGCAGAAGAGGAAAGUGGAAUUCCAUGUGUAGCGGUGAAAUGCGCAGAGAUAUGGAGGAACACCAGUGGCGAAGGCGACUUUCUGGUCUGCAACUGACGCUGAUGUGCGAAAGCGUGGGGAUCAAACAGGAUUAG
RNAcentral lists this ribosomal RNA (754 nucleotides) under uncultured Staphylococcus sp. Its description in RNAcentral is "bacterial SSU rRNA". It matches the Rfam family "Bacterial small subunit ribosomal RNA", at positions 45 to 781 of the family's 1533-position model. Lineage: Bacteria; Bacillati; Bacillota; Bacilli; Caryophanales; Staphylococcaceae. The record is from RNAcentral.